GACAGCAUGGUGUAGUGGUUUGAGUGUUGGACCACAACUCUGGAGACCAGGGUUCAAUUCCCAUUCAGUCA
Non-coding RNA from Phrynosoma platyrhinos (Desert horned lizard), 71 nucleotides. Lineage: Eukaryota; Metazoa; Chordata; Lepidosauria; Squamata; Phrynosomatidae. The record is from the annotation of a GenBank genome assembly.